This 483-nucleotide ribosomal RNA is filed under the name uncultured bacterium. RNAcentral describes it as "bacterial SSU rRNA". It matches the Rfam family "Bacterial small subunit ribosomal RNA", at positions 30 to 507 of the family's 1533-position model. The record is from RNAcentral.
AUUGAACGCUGGCGGCAUGCCUUUACACAUGCAAGUCGAACGGUAACAGGUCUUCGGAUGCUGACGAGUGGCGAACGGGUGAGUAAUACAUCGGAACGUGCCCGAUCGUGGGGGAUAACUCAGCGAAAGCUGUGCUAAUACCGCAUACGAUCUACGGAUGAAAGCGGGGGAUCGCAAGACCUCGCGCGGACGGAGCGGCCGAUGGCAGAUUAGGUAGUUGGUGGGGUAAAGGCUCACCAAGCCUUCGAUCUGUAGCUGGUCUGAGAGGACGACCAGCCACACUGGGACUGAGACACGGCCCAGACUCCUACGGGAGGCAGCAGUGGGGAAUUUUGGACAAUGGGCGCAAGCCUGAUCCAGCCAUGCCGCGUGCAGGAUGAAGGCCUUCGGGUUGUAAACUGCUUUUGUACGGAACGAAAAGGUCUGCCUUAAUACGGCGGGCCCAUGACGGUACCGUAAGAAUAAGCACCGGCUAACUACGUG